RNAcentral lists this ribosomal RNA (1346 nucleotides) under uncultured bacterium. RNAcentral's name for it is "partial 16S ribosomal RNA". It matches the Rfam family "Bacterial small subunit ribosomal RNA", at positions 28 to 1381 of the family's 1533-position model. The record is from RNAcentral.
GACGAACGCUGGCGGCGUGCUUAACACAUGCAAGUCGAACGGAAAGGCCCUGCUUUUGUGGGGUGCUCGAGUGGCGAACGGGUGAGUAACACGUGAGUAACCUGCCCUUGACUUUGGGAUAACUUCAGGAAACUGGGGCUAAUACCGGAUAGGAGCUCCUGCUGCAUGGUGGGGGUUGGAAAGUUUCGGCGGUUGGGGAUGGACUCGCGGCUUAUCAGCUUGUUGGUGGGGUAGUGGCUUACCAAGGCUUUGACGGGUAGCCGGCCUGAGAGGGUGACCGGCCACAUUGGGACUGAGAUACGGCCCAGACUCCUACGGGAGGCAGCAGUGGGGAAUAUUGCACAAUGGGCGGAAGCCUGAUGCAGCAACGCCGCGUGCGGGAUGACGGCCUUCGGGUUGUAAACCGCUUUCGCCUGUGACGAAGCGUGAGUGACGGUAAUGGGUAAAGAAGCACCGGCUAACUACGUGCCAGCAGCCGCGGUGAUACGUAGGGUGCGAGCGUUGUCCGGAUUUAUUGGGCGUAAAGGGCUCAUAGGUGGUUGAUCGCGUCGGAAGUGUAAUCUUGGGGCUUAACCCUGAGCGUGCUUUCGAUACGGGUUGACUUGAGGAAGGUAGGGGAGAAUGGAAUUCCUGGUGGAGCGGUGGAAUGCGCAGAUAUCAGGAGGAACACCAGUGGCGAAGGCGGUUCUCUGGGCCUUUCCUGACGCUGAGGAGCGAAAGCGUGGGGAGCGAACAGGCUUAGAUACCCUGGUAGUCCACGCUGUAAACGGUGGGUACUAGGUGUGGGGUCCAUUCCACGGGUACCGUGCCGUAGCUAACGCUUUAAGUACCCCGCCUGGGGAGUACGGCCGCAAGGCUAAAACUCAAAGGAAUUGACGGGGCCCCGCACAAGCGGCGGAGCAUGCGGAUUAAUUCGAUGCAACGCGUAGAACCUUACCUGGGUUUGACAUGGAUCGGGAGUGCUCAGAGAUGGGUGUGCCUCUUUUGGGGUCGGUUCACAGGUGGUGCAUGGCUGUCGUCAGCUCGUGUCGUGAGAUGUUGGGUUAAGUCCCGCAACGAGCGCAACCCUUGUUCACUGUUGCCAGCACGUUAUGGUGGGGACUCAGUGGAGACCGCCGGGGUCAACUCGGAGGAAGGUGGGGAUGACGUCAAGUCAUCAUGCCCCUUAUGUCCAGGGCUUCACGCAUGCUACAAUGGCUGGUACAGAGAGUGGCGAGCCUGUGAGGGUGAGCGAAUCUCGGAAAGCCGGUCUCAGUUCGGAUUGGGGUCUGCAACUCGACCUCAUGAAGUCGGAGUCGCUAGUAAUCGCAGAUCAGCAACGCUGCGGUGAAUACGUUCCCGGGGCU